This 931-nucleotide unclassified non-coding RNA is filed under the name Hevea brasiliensis (rubber tree). Lineage: Eukaryota; Viridiplantae; Streptophyta; Magnoliopsida; Malpighiales; Euphorbiaceae. The record is from RNAcentral.
GUUUUUUCAUUCAGCUUGCAGAUUUUAGGGUUACAAUACAUAGGAUUUUAAGAAAAUAGUGCCAUGAUAAUCUGGAUGGCUGGGGAUAUGAUAUGUGCUGCAUAUCAUGUGCUUUUGGUCUAGCUUUAAGAUUAUAAUGUUCACAAGAUUUAGGAUAUUGGAAAAUAUUACUGUUAGCAUCUACGCAUGUUAUCACAGUACUAUUGUUUGGUUCAAGUUAUUUUGAAGGCUAUUUCUCUUUAUUUAAAAUCGUAAAUUAUUGUUUACAAUUUAUAUUUUUGAAUAAUAUUUCAAGAAAAUGGAAGAAAGAAAGAAGAUUUAUCAACAUUCUGCUACAAGUUAAUGCACCAAUAAUCAGCUUAUCAUAAAACAAAAAAAUAAAAGUAGUACUUUAAUGUUUGAAUGUGAUAUUAAAACUAGAAACUCCAAAGUCAAAAAUGCAUAAUUAUCAAAACUGAAAACUAAGUAAUGCAUAAGAAAUUUUGAGCUGAAGCUUAGGUGAGAAAAAAUGAAAAAAAUGACAUGGUCUAGAAAGUGAUCUAUAAAUUUAUCACCAUGAAACUUUUCCCUAAAUUUAUGUUGUUAAAAGAAGUCUAUAUUCCUUGAAGGCAAUUCUUGUUCAUCAUCUCACAUCAAUCACCACUUUCAGAGCAUGCAAGUAAACAUUCUACCUUUGUUUUUUUUUAUCAUAAUAUCUUUUGUGCAUACAAGAGAUGUCAAGAAAACUAUAUUGGUGGAUUGAUCAAUAAACAAGCAUACUUGUUUAUAUAUUUUUCUAGAAUGCAUACAGCUAGACAAUGGACAUAACUUGAUGUCGUUUGCUGUAAUACAUACACAUAGACAUAGUUAUCAAUGUAUAGGAACAAAACAACAACAAAAACUACUAAGCUUUAAUCUCAAACUAGUAGGGGUCGGCUAUAUGGAUUCUUUU